GAUGAAGAACGCAGCGAAAUGCGAUAAGUAAUGUGAAUUGCAGAAUUCAGUGAAUCAUCGAAUCUUUGAACGCACAUUGCGCCCGCCAGUAUUCUGGCGGGCAUGCCUGUCUGAGCGUCAUUUCAACCCUCAUGCCCCUAGGGCGUGGUGUUGGGGAUCGGCCAAAGCCCGCGAGGGACGGCCGGCCCCUAAAUCUAGUGGCGGACCCGUCGUGGCCUCCUCUGCGAAGUAGUGAUAUUCCGCAUCGGAGAGCGAUGAGCCCCUGCCGUUAAACCCCCAACUUUCCAAGGUUGACCUCAGAUCAGGUAGGAAUACCCGCUGAACUUAAGCAUAUCAAUAAGCGAAGGA
Molecule: unclassified non-coding RNA, 348 nt
Filed under: soil metagenome
Description: partial contains 5.8S ribosomal RNA, internal transcribed spacer 2, and large subunit ribosomal RNA
Rfam family: 5.8S ribosomal RNA (bases 1-120)
Source: RNAcentral